This is a long non-coding RNA of Ruditapes philippinarum (Manila clam), 1116 nucleotides long. RefSeq lists it as uncharacterized. The transcript is spliced from 4 exons. The record is from RefSeq and is a predicted model, not a curated record. Lineage: Eukaryota; Metazoa; Mollusca; Bivalvia; Venerida; Veneridae.
UGUCGUGCAAAUGUUUUACACAAAUAUUAGAUUCGACUUGCGAUAACAAAUUAUUUGUGAAAAGAUUGAAAGCAAAAUGUUUCUUAAAGUUUUAGUAGUUCUUUUAACAGAUCUAUUUGUGAUAUAUUCCAUACGAUUGGAAAACUGUUCUGUAGACAAGAACAAUUCAGUUGUGAGUAUACAUCAACUUGAUAUUCAUUAAUCUACAAUAUCUUUUCCUGGAGAGAUUAUUGUCAAUGUUGACCUAACUGUGAACAGACGCAUCAACCAUCUUUUUCUUGACUUUGUCAAAGAAAAAAAGUCGUUAGUGUGGACCACAAUACCGUGCAUAGGAAGCUCAGAAAGAGGGUCAUGUAACAUAGAUUACUGCAAUGUGCUAUCUAAGUUCUGGAACUUUGAGAUUCCUUCAGGUGAAUUUGAAUUUCUCAUUGAAGAAAUCAUCAGUUGGACUAUAGGAAGAAAUUGUCCGAUCGAUCCUGAUAGGUACGUCCUGAGAGAUCUGAAAAUAUCUCUAAAGAAACUCACCCAAACAACCCUUUCGCCUUUUGCUCAGGGUCACCACAGAGUAACAAUACUGGUCAAAGAUGACCCGUUCAGUCCUGACAACAUUGGUUGUGUGCAGUUUGAGUUAGACAUCAACAUAAUAUCCGAUUUAAAUUUUUUAAUCGGCAAAACCGAACGUUUGAAAAAUAUACCGUCACUUUGAGCGAGUGAUUUGGACUCGAAAUGUCUCUCUCGUUUUUGUCGAUUUUGACAGCAUUGCGUACUCAGAAAUAUAAUUUUACGCGUUUCUUUGUUAUAGUUUAGUUUUGUUAUAGUUUAAGUAAGUUUCUUUAUAAUUUGUUAUCAGUUCUCAACUUUAUAAUAACUAACCAAUAUAAUACAUUACUAUACUUAUUUUCCAGUAGGAUACGUUUUUUUUUUAAUAUUUAUUUGCCAGUAUAAUAUUUAAUUUUAUACUAACUUUGCGAGUAUGGACUCUUGUUGCCCAUAUAAGACAUUGCCACAAACUUCCUGGCACAUGUGAAAUGCUAAGACCAUACAAGUUUUUAAUGUACUAGGACUGAUUUUAGAGUAUUAUUAUAGAAGACUCAAAAUAUGUACAAGGCGCUAUUU